UACAGGGGUCUCAAGCGUUGUUCGGAUUCAUUGGGCGUAAAGGGUGCGUAGGCGGCGCGGUAAGUCGGGUGUGAAAUCUCGGAGCUUAACUCCGAAACUGCAUUCGAUACUGCCGUGCUUGAGGACUGGAGAGGAGACUGGAAUUUACGGUGUAGCGGUGAAAUGCGUAGAUAUCGUAAGGAAGACCAGUGGCGAAGGCGGGUCUCUGGACAGUUCCUGACGCUGAGGCACGAAGGUCAGGGGAGCAAACGGG
RNAcentral lists this ribosomal RNA (253 nucleotides) under uncultured bacterium. RNAcentral's name for it is "partial 16S ribosomal RNA". It matches the Rfam family "Bacterial small subunit ribosomal RNA", at positions 524 to 776 of the family's 1533-position model. The record is from RNAcentral.